CAUUUACGAGCAUGCUUCCAGGUGUUGAUUUUGCAAAUAUUCUAAGCCAGGUAGAAAGCCUUCUCAGAACAAUUCUUUUUCGUUCGAAACUGUUAAAUGACCAUACUUUUCACUUUGAUUAACUUAAUUUAUAGGACUUGUCAAGUCAUGCAUGGAGACAUAGUUCUAUAAUGACCCUGCCUCCUUUUGGAGACUCUGUUUUAUC
RNAcentral lists this long non-coding RNA (205 nucleotides) under Elaeis guineensis (African oil palm). RNAcentral's name for it is "long non-coding RNA (EGUI_LNC060170)". Lineage: Eukaryota; Viridiplantae; Streptophyta; Magnoliopsida; Arecales; Arecaceae. The record is from RNAcentral.